UGGAGAGUUUGAUCCUGGCUCAGGACGAACGCUGGCGGCGUGCUUAACACAUGCAAGUCGAACGAUGAAGCCGCUUCGGUGGUGGAUUAGUGGCGAACGGGUGAGUAACACGUGGGCAAUCUGCCCUGCACUCUGGGACAAGCCCUGGAAACGGGGUCUAAUACCGGAUAUGACACGGGAUCGCAUGGUCUCCGUGUGGAAAGCUCCGGCGGUGCAGGAUGAGCCCGCGGCCUAUCAGCUUGUUGGUGGGGUGAUGGCCUACCAAGGCGACGACGGGUAGCCGGCCUGAGAGGGCGACCGGCCACACUGGGACUGAGACACGGCCCAGACUCCUACGGGAGGCAGCAGUGGGGAAUAUUGCACAAUGGGCGCAAGCCUGAUGCAGCGACGCCGCGUGAGGGAUGACGGCCUUCGGGUUGUAAACCUCUUUCAGCAGGGAAGAAGCGCGAGUGACGGUACCUGCAGAAGAAGGACCGGCCAACUACGUGCCAGCAGCCGCGGUA
RNAcentral lists this ribosomal RNA (503 nucleotides) under Streptomyces sp. E6. RNAcentral's name for it is "bacterial SSU rRNA". It matches the Rfam family "Bacterial small subunit ribosomal RNA", at positions 1 to 522 of the family's 1533-position model. The record is from RNAcentral. Lineage: Bacteria; Bacillati; Actinomycetota; Actinomycetes; Kitasatosporales; Streptomycetaceae.